This 691-nucleotide ribosomal RNA is filed under the name Sporosarcina sp. RNAcentral's name for it is "bacterial SSU rRNA". It matches the Rfam family "Bacterial small subunit ribosomal RNA", at positions 50 to 725 of the family's 1533-position model. Lineage: Bacteria; Bacillati; Bacillota; Bacilli; Caryophanales; Caryophanaceae. The record is from RNAcentral.
UAUACAUGCAGUCGAGCGGACAGAUGGGAGCUUGCUCCCUGAAGUUAGCGGCGGACGGGUGAGUAACACGUGGGCAACCUGCCCUGCAGAUGGGGAUAACUCCGGGAAACCGGGGCUAAUACCGAAUAAUCAGUUCCUCCGCAUGGAGGAACUCUGAAAGACGGUUUCGGCUGUCACUGCAGGAUGGGCCCGCGGCGCAUUAGCUAGUUGGUGGGGUAACGGCCUACCAAGGCGACGAUGCGUAGCCGACCUGAGAGGGUGAUCGGCCACACUGGGACUGAGACACGGCCCAGACUCCUACGGGAGGCAGCAGUAGGGAAUCUUCCACAAUGGACGAAAGUNUGAUGGAGCAACGCCGCGUGAGCGAAGAAGGUUUUCGGAUCGUAAAGCUCUGUUGCGAGGGAAGAACACGUACGAGAGUAACUGCUCGUACCUUGACGGUACCUCGUCAGAAAGCCACGGCUAACUACGUGCCAGCAGCCGCGGUAAUACGUAGGUGGCAAGCGUUGUCCGGAAUUAUUGGGCGUAAAGCGCGCGCAGGCGGUCCUUUAAGUCUGAUGUGAAAGCCCACGGCUCAACCGUGGAGGGUCAUUGGAAACUGGAGGACUUGAGUGCAGAAGAGGAAAGCGGAAUUCCACGUGUAGCGGUGAAAUGCGUAGAGAUGUGGAGGAACACCAGUGGCGAANGCGGC